GAUGAACGCUGGCGGCGUGCCUAAUACAUGCCAGUCGAGCGAACGGACGAGAAGCUUGCUUCUCUGAUGUUAGCGGCGGACGGGUGAGUAACACGUGGAUAACCUACCUAUAAGACUGGGAUAACUUCGGGAAACCGUAGCUAAUACCGGAUAAUAUUUUGAACCGCAUGGUUCAAAAGUGGAAGACGGUCUUGCUGUCACUUAUAGAUGGAUCCGCGCUGCAUUAGCUAGUUGGUAAGGUAACGGCUUACCAAGGCAACGAUGCAUAGCCGACCUGAGAGGGUGAUCGGCCACACUGGAACUGAGACACGGUCCAGACUCCUACGGGAGGCAGCAGUAGGGAAUCUUCCGCAAUGGGCGAAAGCCUGACGGAGCAACGCCGCGUGAGUGAUGAAGGUCUUCGGAUCGUAAAACUCUGUUAUUAGGGAAGAACAUAUGUGUAAGUAACUGUGCACAUCUUGACGGUACCUAAUCAGAAAGCCACGGCUAACUACGUG
This 497-nucleotide ribosomal RNA is filed under the name uncultured bacterium. RNAcentral's name for it is "partial 16S ribosomal RNA". It matches the Rfam family "Bacterial small subunit ribosomal RNA", at positions 28 to 507 of the family's 1533-position model. The record is from RNAcentral.